CUCAGAGGCUUUUCGGGCAAAAGGUCUGUCAGCGAAUCCAAGCAAGUCUCCCAAAACCCUCAUUUCUCUCGAUUUUUGCUCGGAAAUCGCCAUUUCUUUCUUCAGUUCCAACCAUUUCAUCGAUUGAAGGUGAAAGGAGCUUCGAAAUUCUCGUUUCUCGGACGUGCAGAGAUGUCAGAUCAGAACUUUGUGAAUGAAGACUGAAGUAGCGGAGCAGUUAAAAGAGAGGGAGGAUCGCAAUGGAGAUUAUAAGCAGUUUAAAAGAAAUGUUGCUGACUCAAUUGCAUUUGGGAAGUUAAGAGGGAAAAUCAGUAGAAGGAAUCUGAUAUCGGUUGAAGUUAAUGAUAAGGAAAUCAGUAGGAGGAAUCUGAUAUUGGUUCGUUUCAAUCAUCUUACAUUAAGGUCAACCAAGGUGGACUCGAUAGACUAAUCAAACUUUCAUCUAUAAUUUCUGAAGACCCAUCUGUGCUACAAGAGGCAUGGCACAGUUUGUGAGCAAUUUUGCUGAACCAGGAGAUCCUGAGUAUGCUCCUCCAGUCCAAAAGGGUGAAACUCCGGUAAGAAACUCUACUGCAUGGGAUAUUCUCCUUCACAUGCUUGGUUGUAUAGAUGCUACUUGUAGAUAUUUUUCUUGAUGGAAUCCCAAGUUGUAUCCUGUGGAUAGUGCAAGUUGUGCAGAUUUGUUCCGCUUUUUGGACAAAUAAUUGUUUCCUUGAAAUCGAUAGGCAAAACAUCAUUUGAUGUUUUUUACUUUUUAAUUAUAUUGAUGUACUUUAUAAUUUUUUUUUUGUCCUUCUCUUGUGUAAUAUAUUUGUGCUCUGGGUUUUUAUUUUGAUGUUUUUUAGCUCAUGGGUUUUCUUUUUUUCUUUUUCUUUUUCUUUUUUGAUGGAGCUUUUUUCCUGUUUGUUUUCAUUUAUUGAA
Long non-coding RNA from Magnolia sinica, 921 nucleotides. RefSeq lists it as uncharacterized. The transcript has 5 exons. NCBI's taxonomy places the organism in Eukaryota, Viridiplantae, Streptophyta, Magnoliopsida, Magnoliales, Magnoliaceae. The record is from RefSeq and is a predicted model, not a curated record.